RNAcentral lists this ribosomal RNA (447 nucleotides) under uncultured bacterium. RNAcentral's name for it is "bacterial SSU rRNA". It matches the Rfam family "Bacterial small subunit ribosomal RNA", at positions 30 to 473 of the family's 1533-position model. The record is from RNAcentral.
AUUGAACGCUGGCGGCGUGCCUAACACAUGCAAGUCGAGCGGUAACAGGUGUAGCAAUACAUGCUGACGAGCGGCGAACGGGUGAGUAAUGCUUCGGAAUCUGCCCAUGUAGUGGGGAAUAACCAGCCGAAAGGUUGGCUAAUACCGCAUACGACCUACGGGUGAAAGCAGGGGAUCGCAAGACCUUGCGCUAUUGGAUGAGCCGAAGUCGGAUUAGCNGUUGGUAGGGUAACGGCCUACCAAGGCGACGAUCCGUAGCUGGUCUGAGAGGACGACCAGCCACACUGGGACUGAGACACGGCCCAGACUCCUACGGGAGGCAGCAGUGGGGAAUAUUGGACAAUGGGGGCAACCCUGAUCCAGCGACGCCGCGUGUGUGAAGAAGGCCUGCGGGUUGUAAAGCACUUUUAGUGGGGAUGAAAAGCACAUGGCUAAUAUCCGUGUGUC